GAAAUUAAAGAAAAUACUAAAGUUUUAUUUGUUUUUCACAAUUAAGUUAAAAAGUAUUGGCGGUAUUUAGUUAAAUUCUGAGGAACUUGUUUAUUUAAAUAGAUAUUACACAUUAAAUUUUAUCUACAGUUAAGUAUUUAUGUAUUGCUGUUUAAUUUAUUAUUUGUUAUUAAUAAUAGAUUUGAUUAAUUAGUAAUUAAGAAUUUCAAGUCAAAAUGUAGUUUUUUGUAGGGUUAAAUGAGUUACUUUUAUAUUGAAUUAUGAAACUGUAAAUUUAUUUGAAAUGAGAUAAUGAUGAAGGUUGGAUUAGGUAGUAAAAAAGGAAUAAUUAGUUUUUUUGAUAGUUUUUACUGGUAUGU
This 359-nucleotide ribosomal RNA is filed under the name Draculoides piscivultus. Its description in RNAcentral is "partial small subunit ribosomal RNA". Lineage: Eukaryota; Metazoa; Arthropoda; Arachnida; Schizomida; Hubbardiidae. The record is from RNAcentral.